RNAcentral lists this ribosomal RNA (687 nucleotides) under Salmonella enterica subsp. enterica serovar Javiana. Its description in RNAcentral is "partial 23S ribosomal RNA". It matches the Rfam family "Bacterial large subunit ribosomal RNA", at positions 2247 to 2925 of the family's 2925-position model. The record is from RNAcentral. Lineage: Bacteria; Pseudomonadati; Pseudomonadota; Gammaproteobacteria; Enterobacterales; Enterobacteriaceae.
GCGGACAGUGUCUGGUGGGUAGUUUGACUGGGGCGGUCUCCUCCUAAAGAGUAACGGAGGAGCACGAAGGUUGGCUAAUCCUGGUCGGACAUCAGGAGGUUAGUGCAAUGGCAUAAGCCAGCUUGACUGCGAGCGUGACGGCGCGAGCAGGUGCGAAAGCAGGUCAUAGUGAUCCGGUGGUUCUGAAUGGAAGGGCCAUCGCUCAACGGAUAAAAGGUACUCCGGGGAUAACAGGCUGAUACCGCCCAAGAGUUCAUAUCGACGGCGGUGUUUGGCACCUCGAUGUCGGCUCAUCACAUCCUGGGGCUGAAGUAGGUCCCAAGGGUAUGGCUGUUCGCCAUUUAAAGUGGUACGCGAGCUGGGUUUAGAACGUCGUGAGACAGUUCGGUCCCUAUCUGCCGUGGGCGCUGGAGAACUGAGGGGGGCUGCUCCUAGUACGAGAGGACCGGAGUGGACGCAUCACUGGUGUUCGGGUUGUCAUGCCAAUGGCACUGCCCGGUAGCUAAAUGCGGAAGAGAUAAGUGCUGAAAGCAUCUAAGCACGAAACUUGCCCCGAGAUGAGUUCUCCCUGAGACUUAGAGUCUCCUGAAGGAACGUUGAAGACGACGACGUUGAUAGGCCGGGUGUGUAAGCGCAGCGAUGCGUUGAGCUAACCGGUACUAAUGAACCGUGAGGCUUAACCUUACA